UCACGGAUCACUGAAACCGCCUUCUCCGAGGCCUCCAGGGUGACUAAAAGAAAGGCUUCCCUCACUCAACUCUAGAGAUACUGGACUUAAGGAAAUGUCCCCAUAGAACGCUGAGCCUUUCACCUCCUCUUUGCUCGUCUCACGGCUUUGUUAGACACGAAACCAUCUUCUGGAAAAUGUCUUCCCUGACACCUCUCCUACUUUUCUGAGUUUGGGUUGCUUUCCUCCUAGCACUCACGGAGAUCCAGGCACAAAAUUGCCUUGUAUUCAAGUUCCAAGUACCAACCAGCCUUCCACGUGUUGUUGUUUCAAAGAUAACUCUAUUUGCAAAGCCUUUACGCUACUGUUCAGAGAUUUCCGGAGUGUGUGCAACUUCAGUGAGGACUGGAAAGUGGGCCAUUGCGCAGUUCAGCUCUCAGGCUCUUUGUAGGUCUUUUACCAGUGAAGCAUUCAAGAUGGCUGGUACUUCCUCGUUUUCUUCGACAGGUGACUAAUGAAGCCGUUCUCCACGUUGUACUGUAUGGACAUGCGGCCCCAAGUGACAACAUCGAUCCCACUACCUCUCACAUGCUAAGCGAGUACUCUACCACUUGAGCUCAUUCGUCACCUACCGCAAAACUUUCUGCCCUUUCCUUUAUUCAGGAGUAGAUGUGCGCGAUUACCACCAUUUCUUGCGUCUCGGAACAAAGGAAAUGUCUGGAUUAUUAAUGGGGAACCAGGACUCGACCUAAGGCGAGUCUACUCAAAAAUGGCCAAGGGCAAGGGCAUGAUGGCUAUUCCUCUGCGAGGGAGAGGGGAAAACGUAACCAGGAGAAAGUGGACACUGGAAAAGUCUGGUGCUGUAAGAUUUCACGUUCCAGAUUUUCAGGGAGAGAAGCGAGCACGUCCCAGCUGGGGAGCGCCCGCCCAGAGCGGCCUGCUAAUUUGGCACAGCUAUCCCAGGAUGACGAUCUUUCUUUUAAAAGAGGCGGGAUAAUCACUUGUUCCUUGCAGCUCUGGACUCCCGGGAAGAAGCGGCCACUCCCGGUCAGAUUCUGGGAGACCAGAGAAACCUGUUGUUUCCGUUGAGUUUCAAAUAGAGGACCUUCCAUGUGUUAGGCCAGCGUGGUAACUACUACACCAU
RNAcentral lists this long non-coding RNA (1123 nucleotides) under Homo sapiens (human). RNAcentral's name for it is "HSALNT0334799". The record is from RNAcentral. Lineage: Eukaryota; Metazoa; Chordata; Mammalia; Primates; Hominidae.